This 1375-nucleotide long non-coding RNA is filed under the name Canis lupus familiaris (dog). The record is from RNAcentral. Lineage: Eukaryota; Metazoa; Chordata; Mammalia; Carnivora; Canidae.
GUCAGAUGAUUUGAAUAGAUAUGCUGAUCCUCUGUGAGGUACAACAAUUAAUAGCAUGUUAGAGUUCUGAUGACAGUUUCUGUUACCAAGGAAACUUUAUUCCAUCCUAAUAUUUUUGGGUAACUGUUUGUUCACCUUUUACAGGUUGACUUGAUGGUGAUCCAUUCAUCUAUUCACAGUAAGAGCUUUUCCCAGUAUUGUGAUUAGUUAGCAUAUAUGUGAAUCCAUAAUCCAAAGGAUGAUGUUAUCAUCCUAGAGUUUUUUUGGUUUAUUUGAGCAGAGACUUGAUUGGCCCAUAUAGAUUACUGGUUCUUUUUUGUUGUCUGUUAAUCUUUUUUUCUGAGUGAUUUUUUUUUUUUUUUACAAGUAGGCUCUGUGCCCAACAUGGGGCCGAAACUCAGGACCUCAAGAUCAAGAGUUGGGUGCCCCACUGAGCCAACUGAGCCAGCCAGGCAUCCUUUGCUUUAUUUCUUCUGGGUACUCCCUUGAUCUGUCCAGGGUUGAGCUCUCCAAAAGCAACAUUAAGGAUGGAGCAGCUUGUUUCCUGUAUGCUACCCCAAAGUCUCCAGAGUUAACAGGUUAGUUGAUUAAUGUCUGUGGCUCAUGCCACCAAAUCUGCAGUUUCCAUGAUGAGUCAAACUAGCUCACUAUGACUUACACAAUGAAAAUAAGUGAACACCUGAGAAACUGGAGACAGCAGGAGUGGAGGGAUGCUAUGUGGAAGGGCCUUUUUUUAUUCACCCACAUCUUCAUCCUCUAGGUCCUGUUACCUAUAACCUGCUUGUUUGCUGAAAGGUGAGUAGUUUCCUUAUGUGGUACAUGAAAUACAUUGGGCAGAAAAGUACCCUUUUGGGAGCCUAAAUCCAUGAUGACUUAUGUGGAAUCUCGUUCGGCUGAUAACUUGCUGUUGAGACUCGGAAUUCUGACUUUCCUAGGAAUGAUAGUUUAAGUGGGAAGAAUUUUUAUUGCUAGAGGUAAGCAUUACUGAUUCCCUUAUUUGUAUCAGGUCCAGUACCUUGUGUGGGACUCAAGAAUGAUUUGAGGUAAAUGCCUUUAUAACCCUAUUAUUUGGUUGCUAUAAAUUGGGUGGGGGUGGGGGUGUUUGGUGGCACUUUGGUCUUGGUAGUUGUAAGAAGACAUUACUGGUUUACUCCAAAGUUCUGUCUGGCCAUUCUGAACCACUUGCAACAAGCUCCCCCUCACCAGUGAUGAAUUCAAUACCGCCCCAGUCUGAUCACCGUGACUGAAAGGUAUUUUCUGAGCAGUGAGCUUGUCUUGCUGAGGUGACAACGGUGAGAAAUUUAUCAAGUAGGUUUUAAGCCAGUAGGAAGUCUUGUGGACUUACUGGUGGUUACUGAAAAAUAUGUGCUGAAAC